GCGGGUGUGGCGGAAUUGGCAGACGCGCUAGAUUUAGGUUCUAGUGGGAGUUCCCGUGGGGGUUCAAGUCCCCCCACCCGCA
This 82-nucleotide transfer RNA is filed under the name Clostridium sp. RNAcentral describes it as "tRNA-Leu". It matches the Rfam family "tRNA". Rfam says of the family: Transfer RNA (tRNA) molecules are approximately 80 nucleotides in length. Their secondary structure includes four short double-helical elements and three loops (D, anti-codon, and T loops). Further hydrogen bonds mediate the characteristic L-shaped molecular structure. tRNAs have two regions of fundamental functional importance: the anti-codon, which is responsible for specific mRNA codon recognition, and the 3' end, to which the tRNAs corresponding amino acid is attached (by aminoacyl-tRNA synthetases). tRNAs cope with the degeneracy of the genetic code in two manners: having more than one tRNA (with a specific anti-codon) for a particular amino acid; and 'wobble' base-pairing, i.e. permitting non-standard base-pairing at the 3rd anti-codon position. The record is from RNAcentral. Lineage: Bacteria; Bacillati; Bacillota; Clostridia; Eubacteriales; Clostridiaceae. RNAcentral also lists the same sequence under 4 other names.